UGGCGAUGUCCUGCUACUGAGACGCUUUGGCAAUUCUUUAUGGAUCUUUACUUUUAAGCUUAUGAAGACCACUGCCUUUGCCUCAGGAAUACACAAGUGGAGUUUAGAAGCUAAUUCACAUUCAUGUAAAAAUGUGAUAUUCAAAAAAACUUGUGUUUGUGACUAUGAGAGGAAAUUAGAACUUCUCAGAGAAUCAUGCGCAGUCUCUGGGCACCUGCUGACGCGUCCACCUUCUGAAGAGUCUCUUCCAGCACCUCGGUCUCCACAGUAGUGAGUUUUCCGUGAGGCUGGCAGUGGACCCUUCUCACACUGUACCGGCCAAGCCCAGUCGCCUUCUUGCUGGGCACUGAGAAGGGGCAGAGAGAGUCUCAGCAGGUCAGCGUUGCCCCAGACCCCACAUCUCUGAAGAAGUCAGCUGCAGUUGCCUUGCUCACCUGCCUCUCGGCCUCCUCCUCCUCCUCCUCCUCCUCCUCCUCCUCCUCCUCCUCCUCCUCCUCCUCCAAAUCUGGCCUCGAUUUAUCUGUGAGCACAGUCCUUGCUGCCAAGGAGCGGAACGCAUGUGACACAGGCCCUCACCAGCUGAAUAGGGAGAAAGCACAAGUAUUUCUAACAUCUACAUAAG
Molecule: long non-coding RNA, 622 nt
Filed under: Fukomys damarensis (Damara mole-rat)
Lineage: Eukaryota; Metazoa; Chordata; Mammalia; Rodentia; Bathyergidae
Description: lncRNA (ENSFDAG00000024097.1)
Source: RNAcentral